This 124-nucleotide non-coding RNA is filed under the name Lobosporangium transversale. Its description in RNAcentral is "Eukaryotic large subunit ribosomal RNA". It matches the Rfam family "Eukaryotic large subunit ribosomal RNA", at positions 3022 to 3145 of the family's 3401-position model. The record is from Rfam by way of RNAcentral. Lineage: Eukaryota; Fungi; Mortierellomycota; Mortierellomycetes; Mortierellales; Mortierellaceae.
UAUGAGCUUUGUACGAGAGGAACCGUUCAUCCGGAUAAUUGGUAUUCAGGCCUGGCAGAGCGGGCAAUGGCUCGAAUCUGUUAUCAGUUGGAUUAGAGCUGAAUGCUUCCAAGUCAGAAUCCGU